Molecule: ribosomal RNA, 376 nt
Filed under: uncultured bacterium
Lineage: Bacteria
Description: bacterial SSU rRNA
Rfam family: Bacterial small subunit ribosomal RNA
Source: RNAcentral
UACGUAGGUGACUAGCGUUGUUCGGAUUUAUUGGGCGUAAAGGGUCCGCAGGGGGCCGGCUAAGUCUGAUGUGAAAUACCAAGGCUCAACCUUGGAACUGCAUUGGAAACUGGUUGGCUAGAGUAUCGGAGAGGAGAAUGGAAUUCCUGGUGUAGCGGUGGAAUGCGUAGAUAUCAGGAGGAACACCAAAGGCGAAGGCAGUUCUCUGGACGAUUACUGACCCUCAGGGACGAAAGCAUGGGGAUCAAACAGGAUUAGAUACCCUGGUAGUCCAUGCUGUAAACGUUGUGAACUUGACGUGGGAGGAUUUAGUCCCUUCCGUGUCGUAGCUAACGCGAUAAGUUCACCGCCUGGGGACUACGGCCGCAAGGCUAAA